RNAcentral lists this long non-coding RNA (668 nucleotides) under Olea europaea (common olive). RNAcentral describes it as "long non-coding RNA (OEUR_LNC004221)". The record is from RNAcentral. Lineage: Eukaryota; Viridiplantae; Streptophyta; Magnoliopsida; Lamiales; Oleaceae.
UGUGGUGGAGGAAAACCGCCUUCUCCAUAUAUAACUGAAGCACAAAAAUAAAAUAUAUCUUUCAUUGCCAACGAACUUGAGAAAUGUAACAAACCAAAUACGUUUGGGGAAAUAUUUAUCUAACUUCGAUUGCUUUCAUCCUACAAAGUAUUAAUAGAAUAAGUAAACAUCUUCAAAAUUUGAGAAUAUGUUAAUCACAACACAAGUAAAGUCGAUUUGGGCUACAUGAAGAAGGAGAUCCUACUUUGGGCAAAAGAACUAAUUCUUCGAAAACCAUAAUUUAAACCAUUAACAAAGAGCUGAAAGAAGCCAAAAAAAAAAAUGCAAUAAUCUCAAACAACCCAGAAGUUAUAAAAGAAGAUAAAAGAAAACCAUAAAUCAACUUACCAAAGAAAAUCCCAAAAUAGAUCUCAAAAUUUAUGUGUCAAACAGAUAGUCCUCAAUCCGUAUUGAGUAUAAUGGCAUCUAUAGAAAUUAUAUAGAGAACGAGGGUUCACAAACAGUGGAAAUCGAUUCUUCAAGAUGCCAAGAGAAAUCACAGAGAGAACAAGGUUUACAUCGCAUAAAAUCGGAAGGAACUCAUUUGUAGAGUGAAAGAGAGAUGAUUGGGUGAUACAGCAAUGGAAUGUGUUCACCCUUUUUUAAAUAGAAAUGUGGACAACAUGUCG